Molecule: non-coding RNA, 110 nt
Organism: Meloidogyne enterolobii
Lineage: Eukaryota; Metazoa; Nematoda; Chromadorea; Rhabditida; Meloidogynidae
Source: the annotation of a GenBank genome assembly
GAUGCCCCGGUAGCUCAGUGGUAGAGUUCCUGUAUGUGUUGAGCGAAAGCGCCUAAAGCCUCCCUUCUGUCAGGAGGUCGCAGGUUCGAAUCCUGCCCGGUGGCUAAACG